Molecule: ribosomal RNA, 253 nt
Filed under: uncultured bacterium
Lineage: Bacteria
Description: partial 16S ribosomal RNA
Rfam family: Bacterial small subunit ribosomal RNA
Source: RNAcentral
UACAGAGGUCUCAAGCGUUGUUCGGAUUCAUUGGGCGUAAAGGGCUCGUAGGCGGCUGCUCAAGUCGAAUGUGAAAACUCGAGGCUCAACCUCGAGCCUGCAUUCGAUACUGGGCGGCUAGAGUCUGGUAGGGGGAUCUGGAAUUCCUGGUGUAGCGGUGGAAUGCGCAGAUAUCAGGAGGAACACCGGUGGCGAAGGCGGGAUCCUGGGCCAGUACUGACGCUGAUGAGCGAAAGCGUGGGGAGCAAACAGG